Molecule: ribosomal RNA, 97 nt
Filed under: Cyanistes caeruleus (blue tit)
Lineage: Eukaryota; Metazoa; Chordata; Aves; Passeriformes; Paridae
Source: RNAcentral
GCUUGCAGUCACACCACCUUAGGCUAUGAUUGCAUACAGCUAAGCAGGGCUGGGUCAGUACUUGGAUAAGGGAUUUACAGAAAGUCUGCUGCAGGAA